AGCAGCCGCGGUAAUUCCAGCUCCAAUAGCGUAUAUUAAAGUUGUUGCAGUUAAAAAGCUCGUAGUUGAAUUUCGGGGUUAGUAGAUUGGUCAUGCCUCUGGUAUGUACUGGUCUCACUGAUUCCUCCUUCCUGAUGAGCCGUAAUGCCAUUAAUUUGGUGUUGCGAGGAAUCUGGACUGUUACUUUGAAAAAAUUAGAGUGUUUAAAGCAGGCUAACGCUUGAAUACAUUAGCAUGGAAUAAUGAAAUAGGACGUUCGAUCCUAUUUUGUUGGUUUCUAGGAUUGACGUAAUGAUUAAUAGGGAUAGUUGGGGGCAUUAGUAUUCAAUUGUCAGAGGUGAAAUUCUUGGAUUUAUUGAAGACUAACUACUGCGAAAGCAUUUGCCAAGGAUGUUUUCAUUAAUUCAAGAACGAAAGUUAGGGGAUCGAAGACGAUCAGAUACCGUCGUAGUCUUAACCAUAAACUAUGCCGACUAGGAUCGGANGAUGUUUAAUUUUUAAUUGUACUCAUUC
RNAcentral lists this ribosomal RNA (513 nucleotides) under uncultured Glomus. Its description in RNAcentral is "SSU rRNA". It matches the Rfam family "Eukaryotic small subunit ribosomal RNA", at positions 569 to 1081 of the family's 1831-position model. The record is from RNAcentral. Lineage: Eukaryota; Fungi; Glomeromycota; Glomeromycetes; Glomerales; Glomeraceae.